Molecule: unclassified non-coding RNA, 233 nt
Filed under: plant metagenome
Description: partial contains small subunit ribosomal RNA, internal transcribed spacer 1, and 5.8S ribosomal RNA
Source: RNAcentral
UUUCCGUAGGUGAACCUGCGGAAGGAUCAUUAUUGGAUUUUGAAACUUCAGGCUGCUGCUGGCUCUCCACGGAGGGCAUGUGAACGCUUGUUGUCCAUUAUUUCUCCCACUGUGCACAAAUUGUAGACCUUUCAGUAGGCCUAUGUUGUUUUUCACAAUCUCUGAAUGUAAUAGAAUGGUUUUGAAUCUUGGGAAAUACAAUACAACUUUCAGCAACGGAUCUCUUGGCUCUC